GAUGAACGCUAGCGGCAGGCCUAAUACAUGCAAGUCGAGGGGUAUAAGGAGCUUGCUUCUUUGAGACCGGCGCACGGGUGCGUAACGCGUAUGCAACCUACCUUAAUCAGGGGGAUAGCCCGGAGAAAUUCGGAUUAACACCGCAUAAAAUCACAGUAUUGCAUAAUACAAUGAUCAAAUAUUUAUAGGAUUAAGAUGGGCAUGCGUGUCAUUAGCUAGUUGGUAAGGUAACGGCUUACCAAGGCGACGAUGACUAGGGGAUCUGAGAGGAUUACCCCCCACACUGGUACUGAGACACGGACCAGACUCCUACGGGAGGCAGCAGUAAGGAAUAUUGGUCAAUGGACGCAAGUCUGAACCAGCCAUGCCGCGUGCAGGAUGACUGCCCUAUGGGUUGUAAACUGCUUUUAUAUAGGAAUAAAUGUACUUACGUGUAAGUAUUUGAAUGUACUAUAGGAAUAAGGAUCGGCUAACUCCGUGCCAGCCGCCGCCUAA
RNAcentral lists this ribosomal RNA (495 nucleotides) under uncultured bacterium. RNAcentral describes it as "partial 16S ribosomal RNA". It matches the Rfam family "Bacterial small subunit ribosomal RNA", at positions 28 to 522 of the family's 1533-position model. The record is from RNAcentral.